GACGAACGCUGGCGGCGUGCUUAACACAUGCAAGUCGAACGGAAAGGCCCUGCUUUUGUGGGGUGCUCGAGUGGCGAACGGGUGAGUAACACGUGAGUAACCUGCCCUUGACUUUGGGAUAACUUCAGGAAACUGGGGCUAAUACCGGAUAGGAGCUCCUGCUGCACGGUGGGGGUUGGAAAGUUUCGGCGGUUGGGGAUGGACUCGCGGCUUAUCAGCUUGUUUGUGGAGUAGUGGCUUACCAAGGCUUUGACGGGUAGGCGGCCUGAGAGGGUGACCGGCGACAUUGGGACUGAGAUACGGCGCAGACUGCUACGGGAGGCAGCAGUGGAGAAUAUUGCACAAUGGGCGGAAGCCUGAUGCAGCAACGCCGCGUGCGGGAUGACGGCCUUCGGGGUGUAAACCGCUUUCGCAUGUGACGAAGCGUGAGUGACGGUAAUGGGUAAAGAAGCACCGGCUAACUACGUG
RNAcentral lists this ribosomal RNA (468 nucleotides) under uncultured bacterium. Its description in RNAcentral is "partial 16S ribosomal RNA". It matches the Rfam family "Bacterial small subunit ribosomal RNA", at positions 28 to 507 of the family's 1533-position model. The record is from RNAcentral.